CCUACGGGUGGCAGCAGUGAGGAAUAUUGGUCAAUGGCCGGAAGGCUGAACCAGCCAUGCCGCGUGAAGGUCAGUGCCCUAUGGGCGUUAAACUUCCUUUGUGCGGGAGCAAUAAUGGUCACGUGUGGCCAGACGAGAGUACCGUACGAAUAAGCAUCGGCUAACACCGUGCCAGCAGCCGCGGUAAAACGGGGGAUGUAAGCGUUAUCCGGAUUUAUGGGGUUUAAAGGGUGCGUAGGCGGGGAGGUAAAUCAGCGGGGAAAUGCCCCCGCGCAACGGGGUGAAGUGCCAUUGAUACUGCCUUGCUGGAGUGCGGAUGCGGUAGGAGGAAUGUGUGGUGUAGCGGUGAAAUGCAUAGAUAUCACGCAGAACUCCGAUUGCGAAGGCAGCAUACCGGCGCCCGACUGACGCUGAAGCACGAAAGCGUGGGUAUCGAACAGGAUUAGAUACCCGUGUAGUC
RNAcentral lists this ribosomal RNA (460 nucleotides) under uncultured bacterium. RNAcentral describes it as "partial 16S ribosomal RNA". It matches the Rfam family "Bacterial small subunit ribosomal RNA", at positions 338 to 795 of the family's 1533-position model. The record is from RNAcentral.